Apodemus sylvaticus (European woodmouse) is the source of this 2433-nucleotide RNA transcript. It is a transcript of the gene named nuclear protein 2, transcriptional regulator, with no coding region annotated. The record is from RefSeq and is a predicted model, not a curated record. The transcript has 3 exons. Lineage: Eukaryota; Metazoa; Chordata; Mammalia; Rodentia; Muridae.
ACACUGUCUCCUAAACUGACCUCGAACUCGUCACCCUCCAGCGUUUGCCUCCAAAUGCUGAAAUUUCAAGCAUGGGGCAUGAUUCCCUGCUGUGUUGUUUGGUUUUAUUGGUGAUCCCCGUUCUAGCCCAGGAUGCCAUGGUGUCUGUGGCAAUCCUCAACCUCUCUAGUCCUGAGAUGACAGGUCUGUACAACCAUGUUCACCUGUCAUCUGCUUCUGAGACUUCCCGGCAUUAGUCAUAACUGCACUGGCUCCCCAACCCUGACCCCAGGGCUUUCCUGGCUGCUGGCGAAAGUGUGGACCAUUUGGAAAGUUUGCCAUUGUGUGAGAAAAGUCUACAUUGGAAAUACAGGGAAAUGCUUGAGGCAAUACAUCCCGGCAGGGUUGCUCACACCUGGAAUCCAUCUCCUGCCUCUGGCCUCCGGAGACUGCUGGAAUUUGAGGUCAACCAGGAACACCCUCUGAGGCACUGUCCCAAAACAAAAUUGCCCCCCCCCCCCUUGCUUGCUUUCAAUUGCUGUAAUAAACACCUGGAACAAAAGCAACUUGAAGCCAGGCAGUGGGCAGUGGUGGCGCUCGCCUUUAAUCCCAGCACUUGGGAGGCGGAGGCAGGUGGAUUUCUGAGUUCGAGGCCAGCCUGGUGUACAAAGUGAGUUCCAGGACUACAUAGAGAAACCCUGUCUCGAAGCCCACCUCCCCCCCCAAAAAAGCAACUUGGGCAGGAAAGGGUUUAUCUCACCUUACACAGUGCUUCCUGAAGUCAGGGCAGGAACCCGGAGGAGGCAGGAACUGAAGCACAGUCCAAAGAGGUUCCCGUUCUCCUCCUACCUCCCAGGGCCAUCAGCCCAGGGUGAUGCCAUCCCACAGCGGGCUGAGCUCUCUCGUGCCAAUCACUGAGAAAAAUGCCCCCCACUGACUUGUCCCCAGGCCAGUCUGACAAUAGAGGUAUCUUCCCAGAUGACUCUAGUUUGUGUGGAGUUGAGGGAACCAAAAACCAGGAAACCAGAAACUGGGGGUGAUAAUGCAUACCUCUGUGCCUCUUGGAACUAGCAAAGUGAAAGCAGGGGUCAGAAGUUCAAGGUCAGAAGUCUGAGAGAUGGCUCGGCAGUCCAGAGCAUUUGCAGGCCUUGCUUUUUAAUAUCCCUGCACCUGUAUUAGAGGCUCACAACCUGCUGUAGCUCAGGUUCAAGGAGACUCAGCGCCCUGUUCUGCCCUCUGAGGACGCUGUGUGCAUAUCGCACACAGACAUGCGGGCAAACACUUAGACACAUAAAAAUGAAAAAGACAUUUAAAAGUUCAAGAUCAUUGGCUAGGUAGUAUGAGGCCAGCCUGAGCUACAGGAGACGGGAAACAGGGAGGCUGAGACCACAGUUCAGUUGAUAGUUUUCACUUAGUAAGAAUAAGACUCUGGGAUCAAUCACUAGCACGGUGGAAAUAGGACCCACAUCUUAGUAUUAGGGAGACAGAGGCGGGAGAACCCAAGAAGUUCAUGGCUGUCCUUAUCCUUAGUCACAUAGUCAUAGGCCAGCCAGACGCCAUCUUAAUAUAUAUGAAUAUAUGGCUGGAGAGAUAGUUCAGCGGUUAAGAGUACUGACUGCUCUUCUAGAGUUCCUGAGUUCAAUUAUCAACAUGGUGGCUCACAACCAUCUGUAAUGGGAUGCCUUCUUCUGGUGUGCCUGAAGACAGCGACAGUGUACUCUCACACACACACAUAUAUGCACAAAACAACCUACUAGUGACUUUGACCUCUUUUCCUUUCACUCAGGAACCUGAGACAGGAGGAUCUUGAGUUGGAGUCCAGCCUGGGCAUUAUUGAAACCUGAAAGACCUGAUAAAAAGUAUUUUCCGACUGUAACCAAGGUCCUCCGUGUUGGUCAACUGGACUUUCUGACAGGGUUUACUGUUCUAGUCUUUUUCUUCACUAAUUAAUUAUUAAUUACUGUGGAGUUAACCGGUCUCCAGUUCACAACUAUCUGGGCUCUGACAUAUAAAGAGAUCACAAGCUCAGGAGUAACUGGUUUGCUAAAGUGAUUGCAGCAAAAAGCCCAAGGACCUGAGUUCGAUCCUUAAAAGCCAUGUUUUUGAAAAGUUGGGUGUUUUACUGGCUGGUUUUGUGUGUCAACUUGACACAGGCUGGAGUUAUGGAGAAAGGAGCUUCAGUUGGGGGAAGUGCCUCCAUGAGAUCCAGCUGUGGGGCAUUUUCUCAAUUAGUGAUCAAGGGGGGAGGGCCCCUUGUGGGUGGUGCCAUCUCUGGGCUUGUGUUCAUGGGUUCUAUAAGAGAGCAGGCUGAGCAAGCCAGGGGAAGCAAGCCAGUAAGGAACAAACCUCCAUGGCCUCUACAUCAGCUCUUGCUUCCUGACCUGCUUGAGUUCCAGUCCUGACUUCCUUUAGUGAUUAACAACAGUAUGGAAGUGUAAACUCAAUAAACCCUUU